UCAAACUUGGUCAUUUAGAGGAAGUAAAAGUCGUAACAAGGUUUUCGUAGGUGAACCUGCGAAAGGAUCAUUAACGAGUUAGGGUCUUUUAGGCCCGACCUCCCAACCCUUUGUUUACCAAUCCAUCGUUGCUUCGGCGAACCCGUCCUCCCGGACCGCCGGAGGACCUUCUCUGGUCCUCUGGCCCGCGCUCGUCGGUGGCCAACCUUCAAAUUCUUUAACUAAAUGUGUCUUACUGAGUUCCAACUUUUAAUUAAAAAGCAAAACUUUCAACAACGGAUCUCUUGGUUCUGGCAUCGAUGAAGAACGCAGC
This 313-nucleotide unclassified non-coding RNA is filed under the name uncultured fungus. Its description in RNAcentral is "partial contains small subunit ribosomal RNA, internal transcribed spacer 1, and 5.8S ribosomal RNA". The stretch from base 1 to 73 matches the Rfam family "Eukaryotic small subunit ribosomal RNA", at positions 1759 to 1831 of the family's 1831-position model. The record is from RNAcentral. Lineage: Eukaryota; Fungi.